Molecule: ribosomal RNA, 301 nt
Filed under: uncultured bacterium
Lineage: Bacteria
Description: partial 16S ribosomal RNA
Rfam family: Bacterial small subunit ribosomal RNA
Source: RNAcentral
CAGUAGCCGCGGUAAAACGGAGGGUGCAAGCGUUAAUCGGAAUUACUGGGCGUAAAGCGUGCGUAGGCGGUUCGUUAAGUCUGUUGUGAAAGCCCCGGGCUCAACCUGGGAAUGGCAAUGGAUACUGGCGAGCUAGAGUGUGUCAGAGGAUGGUGGAAUUCCCGGUGUAGCGGUGAAAUGCGUAGAGAUCGGGAGGAACAUCAGUGGCGAAGGCGGCCAUCUGGGACAACACUGACGCUGAGGCACGAAAGCGUGGGGAGCAAACAGGAUUAGAUACCCGGGUAGUCCCUGUCUCUUAUAC